Molecule: ribosomal RNA, 460 nt
Filed under: uncultured bacterium
Lineage: Bacteria
Description: partial 16S ribosomal RNA
Rfam family: Bacterial small subunit ribosomal RNA
Source: RNAcentral
CCUACGGGAGGCUGCAGUGAGGAAUAUUGGUCAAUGGACGAGAGUCUGAACCAGCCAAGCCGCGUGAAGGAUGACUGCCCUAUGGGUUGUAAACUUCUUUUAUAUGGGAAUAAAACGUUCCACGUGUGGGAUUUUGUAUGUACCAUAUGAAGAAGGAUCGGCUAACUCCGUGCCAGCAGCCGCGGUAAUACGGAGGAUCCGAGCGUUAUCCGGAUUUAUUGGGGUUAAAGGGAGCGUAGGUGGAUUGUUAAGUCAGUUGUGAAAGUUUGCGGCUAAACCGUAAAAUUGCAGUUGAAACUGGCAGUCUUGAGUACAGUAGAGGUGGGCGGAAUUCGUGGUGUAGCGGUGAAAUGCUUAGAUAUCACGAAGAACUCCGAUUGCGAAGGCAGUUCACUGGACUGCAACUGACACUGAGGCUCGAAAGUGUGGGUAUCAAACAGGAUUAGAUACCCGAGUAGUC